This is a long non-coding RNA of Manacus vitellinus (golden-collared manakin), 747 nucleotides long. RefSeq lists it as uncharacterized. The transcript is spliced from 3 exons. Lineage: Eukaryota; Metazoa; Chordata; Aves; Passeriformes; Pipridae. The record is from RefSeq and is a predicted model, not a curated record.
ACUGUAGCAAAUACCUUGUGAGGUAGAUUGAGGAAGCCCAUUAGUGCUUGUUUGUUCAAGCUCUGGCACACCACCCCAUUGCUCAUCACUGAUGAGCCUGGGUUUGUCUCUUUGCGCCUUCCAAGCUAGUUUAAAACUCUAUCAACAAGUCCUGCUAUCUCCUGUGACAUAACUCUUUCUCCUAUGGAUUCAUGGAAAGUAUCGUACAGUAAUAAUAAUUGAAUCUGCAAGUCAUCCUGAAAAUAUGUGAAUUCCUGCAGCAAUUAUUACAAGAAGAAAUUAUUAAAAAGGUUUUGAUGGUUGGUUGUGUCCCUAAAAGUACUGCUCAUCUUCACGUGCAAAUCUAUCCAGAAACAGAUCUAAGCGAGCUGAGAAGAGACAUCUGCAGCUCCACAAUUUUGAGAAUCAUUGUACAUAAAUUCCAGGAUACAAGAGGACCUAUCUCAUCUUUUACCAGUCGUCGUUUGGGAACCUUCUUGUGCAAAAAUAUUUUUGACUGAAAAAUAUCCAGGGACUCUCUGCCACCUUUCCAUAGCCAAAACAUACUGAGCAGCACGCCUGCCCUGCUGUAGGUUUCUUCUAUGUCUCAGAUUUAUUGAAAGUUGAUUAAUAUGCUAAUAAUUUAAGUGAAAUGUUCACCUAUUAAAAAAAGGCAAAAAAGAAGACUAAAGAAUUCUUAUUAUAACUGAUCAUGCUGUCCGUGAGUCUCUGAAAAAAAGAUGUGUUCAGGAGGCAGAACAAAUGAAA